CCUGCAAAGAGAACAAAAUAUGGUACAUCAGCAGCCUAUUUGGGCUGGUGAAAGAAAUUAAGCAAUGUGGUCCCUCAAACCAAGUCUAAGUGCAAGUUUAGUUUCAAAACCAACAAUGCUAUAAAUUACUGAUGUGGAAUGGAUCUGAGAGGACUGAUAGGAAUGUGCUCCAACAUCACCAACCGCUCUGCAGAGCAGGAGCACGUAGGAAGCUUGGACUAGAAGGGGGACCUUGACCUCAGAAAGGUAAGCUUUAUCUCUAAAUGUAAUGACUGUAGCUCUGGCUGGAGCCCAUAUGUAUGAAAUAUUUGAGUUCAAGCAGCUUGGAUAAACUUGAAAUGGGCACCCAAAAUUUUGCCAGGCUCAUUGGAACCUGGUUGGACCUGUAGGAGUUUGCUGGCAGCUGCUUGUUACUACAUUUCUGAAAGAGUAAAAGCAAAGGAAAUAUCUUAAAGGCACGCCCUUAUCCAGCAGGAGAAAUAUUCCCCAGCUUACUCUCUAAAAAGCAAAGCUUAAAAGGGAAACCUUUUCUGAUGGUGGGUAAGUCUUGCUGUUGUUCAUAUUGAUGUUCUUCAUGGAGAUCAGAGUGAUGCUGUUAUCCUUCUCGCUUGUGCCUGCAGAGCAGCUGUCAUUGAGGGAAAGCAUUAAUUACUCUGGAAUAUAAGAAGGGAAUUUCUCCACGCAGUGAGGUAAACUAACAGAGCUGAGUCUGGCUGGGGUGAGGGGACCAGGGCUGAUCUCUGAUCUGUUGUCUGGAUUCAGGCACACCCUUAGUGCCAAAUUCCUCCACUCCUUGAUACUACCGCUCAUGUAUUGCCAGGCCCCAGCUUCUGAGUGAGAGGUACAAGUGUUAGGAAGGGGUAAUUUGCCUUUCUCCCUACCCUGAGGGCUGGAUAGGCAUUCAGUGCCAAUGGAGGCUGGAUGGUGUUGGAGAUUAGAGUGCCUUGGUGCCCCAUCUCAGUGGUUGCAGUUACUUAGGAACCACUGAUGCUGAUGCAAAUUCUCACAUAAAUAUUGAAGAACCCUGCUCCCUGUGUCCCCUGAGUCCCAAAAAAGGGGUAUUACCCAGAUAGGAAAGGAUAGGGAAGUAGGAGCAAUGUGCAGCGAUACCUUCUCCCCUUUUUAGGUCCCUCCCAGCUCUUGCUUCAUGAUGCUUUCUGUGCGCAGUUUCUCUAUUUGGGUAGCAAUGAUUCUCUGUGGGGCUCACACAGAACAUUUUCCACUUGACAUUUUUCUUCCUACGGCCUCUGAACCGAGACCCCUCUUUAUCCUACUUGAGCUACGUAACAGCAAUAGCGGUACUGGAAAUAACUGGGGGUGGGACCUGGUCUAUUUUUGCUGAGACUGCUUUGAGUUUCAGAAGCCCAAGGCCAGAUCUCAAGUCUGCAUGUAGGCAAGAAAAGACAAGCAAACUCCUUUUUGGAAGGUGAUGAGCUUUCGCUGAUAUCAGCACAGCUGUGAAAUGGAGACCCUAAAUGUUGAACUUCUACCUUUGACUCCAUCAGACACAGGAUGAGGUUUAUCAGCACUCACUGUGUUUUUCACCUAUCUCAGAGCCCUGAAAUGCUCCCCCCCACACCCCAUCUGAUGUAAUGAAAGUUGCCUUUUUCCCUGUGCUAAAAUUAGUUGUGCAAUAAAAUAUAAUUUUCAACGGGAUAUGAAUAAUGUGAGCAGCCUUACCCCUCUGAUACCAUGGAGCUCCCUGGCUUCUGUUUGUCUGGAGGGAGAAAAGCAGUUGGUGACGGACAGGUGAGAAAACAUCGCGGCUGUGCAAUAAAAUAAGUCAGCUGUAUUCUGUAUCGUGUUGUACAGGGUUAUAAAUGAAAUCCACAUGAAAUUAGAGUCACCACUGGAUAUCUGAGAGCUGAUUAGAGAAAAUGCUUCAACUAAUUUAACAUUAUACGGGCAGGAGUGAAUGCUUUGCUGCCUGUUUAAUUGCUGGCAUCCUCCAGGCUUCUGGCAGUUACCUGCCUUGCCGUAGAGCAGCCUUGCCCUCUAGUGGGCAGUGCUUAACGGGAAAUAGGAUUCUGAGGGAAAAACAAUGUCAAACUGUGAUUUCUGCAGGAAAUCUGCACACUUAGCUGCUUCAGAUACAGCAAACUUAAGGCUUUUUCCUUGUGCACAUGGUGCACACGGGGCUGGACAGGGGCUCCAAAGAAGCGCUCACACCCCAUUCCUAACUGUGAUUCAAAACCUCCCCACUGGGUAAGCUGCCCUUUUCGUGUAUGUGUGCGUGUGUGUGCCUCCAUCAUUUUGGAGCUGCAAAAUGAACUUAGAAAACAAUGACUUUUCGAUUAGGGAAGGCCGGGCAGCCUCAGACAAAUACCUUCUGAGUCCUUGGAGCGAUUGCACUUGAACCUCAGGCUGACCACGCUGACGAGGAUGAUCACAACCACAACCAGGAUGACUAUGAAGCUGAUGACACCUGCAGAUGGAUGAAGAAACCUUCUGCUCUAGUAACUCCCCUGUCCUUGGCUUCUGGGGUAGUGCAGGGCCUGGACUCUCAUCAUGAUUUGUGUAGGAAAUCAGUAUUUUCAUUAAAGCAAGCAUGGGAUGUAAUAGGUAGAAAAGUAAAUAGUUGCUGGAGUGAGUGACCUAAUCCUCCUGUGUUUUAGCUUCAAAGGGCUUCUGCUGCGUGCUUAGUUGAUAAGACAGUGAUAGGAAGGCAGAAGCCAAUUGAUUACACUGGCAAUUAAUUAGAGUCAACAUGUCCCUAUUGCAGUUGAGAAAUCUUAUCCUAAAGGUGUGUGAAGUCAGAUAAAUACAUAAUAUAAUGGAGAGAGACGAGUUAUUGACUUCAAGCAGUGUUAGCUAUCUCACGAACCAGUGGCCAAGCACAGAUUUUAUUCUGACAUCUGGCAAUUAUCAAUUAAACUGUGCUUUGUUAAGAUGGUUUUAGAGCUCUUAGUGGUUUAGCCCAAAGAAAAGUGGGUAUCUUAAAUCUACCCUGUGCCCAUCCUUAGAGCCAUUGUCUGGAUAAGUUAUGGCAUCUCUUGCUCCAUUCUUGCACAAUCUCUGAACGGUGUGGUGGAGUUGGCUGCUUCCUGCUAAGCAGGGUGGAAACAUACAGGGAAAGCAGUUUGGUGGGGCUGGGGCAGAGUUGAACAGGCUUUCAGGGUUAAAACAAAGUUGUCGAAGCUUACAGGAAGGUAAGACAUUUAUUGUGUUCCCUUUCAGGGAAACCAGGACAUAGAAUGGGGGAAUUUCUGCCCAGGUCUUGUGCUGGGAAGAACAUCCAGAGUUCAGGCACAGCCAUGACACCCUUUCAAACUCCUUCCUUGUUAGGCUGGAUAUGGCUAGAAGUGUUUAUGCACUGCUUUGUUACUUGGUGGUAACAAGUCUUUUUCUCAAGAGUUUUCCCUCGCACUCUGAAAUCUACAAGAUGGGGCAUGGAGAGUGAAACUGAGGAGAGCUGUCCCAAGGGAAGCUUCUUCAAGGCUGGGUGUUCUAACCUGCACGAGUUGACAGAACAGGUCCCCUCCUUUCCCCUGGUUGCAAAAGACCUUACCGAAAGCUACCACAGUCAGCGGAGACUCGUAUUCUGUUGGAGUAGGCACAGGCAAAGAGACAGAGAUUUCCAGUGCUGGGGUAACUGUUCCUGAGGUGCCUACAAGAGGGGGGAAAUACCAUCAUAUAAAGCCUUUCUUCCAAGGUUGGGAAGAAGAUUUCUAGCAGUACUACACGGUCUAACUCUCACUUGCACUUUGAUGAAGAGAAUAACUGAGGAUCAUGGGCAGCCCCACCGAUGUGAACGUCCUCAGUGGGAGUCAGAUUGCAGUGGUGUGGCCCUACUUAUCAACAGUCUGAGAAAGCGAUUCCCCACCCACAGGCUUUUCUGCUGGGACAUCAACAAGGAAGCUGAGCAUGGCAGGUAAAGGACUGAUCUGGCACGUUUGAGGAAGGAGCUUGUCCUGCCUCCCCAUCUUACAGCCUUUUGCCACACUGUCACCUUUCCCUGCUGUGACUCACAGCUGCUGUACUCAGGCGUGACAUGUAAAUCCAGAGUGCUGCUUCUGCAGAGCUCUGAAGGCUUUUGAAGGGCUAGAUGGGAUGGCUAGCAGCCCUCGGGUUCUUGUUAUCUCUUCAUCAUAAUGCCUGAAAAUAGCAGUGCUAUGGCAUUGCUGUUGGCUGUAAAAAGGGCUGUGAAACAUCUACUGAUGUCUGUUUCUAUGAGAGAAAGGAGAAAGCACCUUGAGUUGCUGCUGCUGUAGUACUCUCACUUCUCUUGGACUCUUCACCUGCACAGAGGAAAUACAGAAAUGAGUCUUGUCCUUGAAUUUCACAUGGUAAGCAAAAGAAUGAAUGUACGUGCUGGAGAGUGGAACGUAUUCACAGUAUGGCUGGUGAUGCAGGAAAAUGGGAAAUUCAUUCUCAGGCUGAAACCUCCCCACCACAGGAUCAUAGAAUCAUAAAGACUAGAAAACACAACUUAGGUCAUCCAGUCUGACCCCAGCCCGUGCCCACCAUGCCCACUAACCACAGCCCUCAGUGCCACGUCUCCAUCGUUCCCAAACACCUCUGGGGUUGGUGACUCCCCCACCUCCCUGGGCAGCCCAUGCCAAAAGUCCUUUGUACAGUUUUCCCAGAAUUUUCCUUCAGAAGAAGAAACAAGGGAUUCAAAUAGUCCUGUCUAAGUGCUCAGGUUUCGUUUCUGCAAUCACUCAUGUAUUUUUUUUGGCAGGUACAGGAGUUAAACACUGGGAUAGUGAGCUGGAAAAGCUAUAGAUUUUCUACUGCUCAUAAACAAACAAGCAAACCGGUUAGGGGAGGCAGUUCUGCAGAACACAGGUAUAGAUUGGCUGCUUGGCUUGUUUGCCUUGAAGAUGGAAUUAGUGUGCAUGUCUUGCAUGCUGUUUUAUCUAGAAGUAACUAAGCUAGUUCUGGUUGGGUUAACUUGCCCAAUAUGCAGUCCAGCUGUGGUAGCGCAGAGGUUCUUCAAGCGAGGACUCCAGGAUCUUUUCUUCUUUUCCCAUCCCCUCCCUCCCAAAAGCAGUGUUGGCCAAAGUGGGUGCUGCCCAGAGAGCCGCAGGUGGAGGACAGAAGCUGUGUGUGCUGAGCCCGCCGUGGGUACCCCACUCCUGGGAAAUGCUGAGUCUCACACAACAGGAGCUCUGUCUUUUGGAAGCAUCAGCAGCGUUUCUGUAGCUGAAGAUGUACGGAGCUUUUCAGCUAAAGCAGGCCUGGAGGCUAACAUCUUCCUCAACCACACACUGAAAGGAGCCAGAGCAUGAAUCGUGUGGAUCCAGAGCAAGAUAGCAGGGGGAAAGGGAAUGCUGUCAUAGUCCUCUCCAAGAAGAGCAGAUCACCAAGGUGCAAUCUAUAGGCAAGUUACUCUUCUAGGCUUGUGGCUUUCCAGUAAAAUGAGCAAAGAGUGAAAAUGGUUUUAAGCUUUUUCCUUUUAUCCAAAUGCUCACUGAAAUGUUGAAAUGGGGAAUCACUCUUCUUUUUCCUUUUUUUCUUUUUUCUAUUUUUUUUUUUCCUGCAAGGAAUGGCAGCAGAAUCUGAGACCGUUUGGGGGAUCUUUUUCCUUUAUAUUUUAGGGGUCUCUCUGUAAGGGGAUCUUUUUCUAAGCAGAGAGAGGUCUUUCCCUGUUAUAUUCUCUUCCACAGGGAGAAACAGGAAACACAUUGACCUGUUGUGUGGGAGGUGCUGAGGCUGCGUGCAGAACUGGAAUUUUCUAGUCUAAAAAAAAAAAAAAAGUGGUUGAGCUUAUUGAGAGAGCAGUAUUGAACAGUGAAUGUAAUGCAGGGAAACUCCUCUAACAAUGGCUUAACUGCUGGUGCUUCCUGUAUGACACCCAACAGCUGAGGCCAGACCUGGUGUGUGAGGCACUGUGCUUACACGUAUUGGGCACCAAGCUCUCCAUGCAUUAAGGGCUGCCCAGCAAAACGGUGAUGCCAGGUAGAUGUGGACACAGGCCAAUCUUCUUCCCUCGGUGGGGGAUUACAGACACCCACAGUCCUUCCCUGUUGGAGUUU
This is a long non-coding RNA of Gallus gallus (chicken), 5978 nucleotides long. RefSeq lists it as uncharacterized. The record is from RefSeq and is a predicted model, not a curated record. Lineage: Eukaryota; Metazoa; Chordata; Aves; Galliformes; Phasianidae. The transcript is spliced from 3 exons.